CCUACGGGGCGCAGCAGUGGGGAAUAUUGCACAAUGGGGGGAACCCUGAUGCAGCAAUGCCGCGUGGGUGAAGAAGCACUCCGGUGCGUAAAGCCCUGUCAGCAGGGAAGAAAAUGACAGUACCUGGACAAGAGGCCCCGGCUAACUACGUGCCAGCAGCCGCGGUAAUACGCAGGUGGCAAGCGUUGUCCGGAAUUACUGGGUGUAAAGGGAGCGUAGGCGGGAAGCCAAGUCAGCUGUGAAAACUACGGGCUUAACCUGUAGACUGCAGUUGAAACUGGCUUUCUUGAGUGAAGUAGAGGUUG
RNAcentral lists this ribosomal RNA (305 nucleotides) under uncultured bacterium. RNAcentral describes it as "bacterial SSU rRNA". It matches the Rfam family "Bacterial small subunit ribosomal RNA", at positions 338 to 660 of the family's 1533-position model. The record is from RNAcentral.